GUCGUAACAAGGUUUCCGUAGGUGAACCUGCGGAAGGAUCAUUACCACACCGAUCCAAGAUCUGUUUCACCGCGAACCGCGGUCCCGUGGAAGCUGGUGGCUGUGGGUUGUGGACUGCUGCAUUGCGGUGGUUUGCAUCGCUCACCGCUGGUGGGACUGCCAUUCAAAGUGCCGUCGAGCUGCUUGCACACUGUGCUGGGUGAGCGGCUCGGCGGUGCGCCCCGUCAACUUUAAGACGUUAACCGGUCUUGACCCAACGAACUGAACCAAAAGGGUUCGUAUUAACCACGCACAGCUGUGCGGGUUGGGACAGCCUCUGAAACCUAAGAUUUACAACUUUCAGCGAUGGAUGUCUAGGUUCCCA
This 364-nucleotide unclassified non-coding RNA is filed under the name fungal sp. Its description in RNAcentral is "partial internal transcribed spacer region". The stretch from base 1 to 44 matches the Rfam family "Eukaryotic small subunit ribosomal RNA", at positions 1788 to 1831 of the family's 1831-position model. The record is from RNAcentral. Lineage: Eukaryota; Fungi.